RNAcentral lists this ribosomal RNA (345 nucleotides) under Vibrio parahaemolyticus VPTS-2010. RNAcentral describes it as "partial 23S ribosomal RNA". It matches the Rfam family "Bacterial small subunit ribosomal RNA", at positions 1200 to 1533 of the family's 1533-position model. The record is from RNAcentral. Lineage: Bacteria; Pseudomonadati; Pseudomonadota; Gammaproteobacteria; Vibrionales; Vibrionaceae.
CCUUACGAGUAGGGCUACACACGUGCUACAAUGGCGCAUACAGAGGGCAGCCAACUUGCGAAAGUGAGCGAAUCCCAAAAAGUGCGUCGUAGUCCGGAUUGGAGUCUGCAACUCGACUCCAUGAAGUCGGAAUCGCUAGUAAUCGUGGAUCAGAAUGCCACGGUGAAUACGUUCCCGGGCCUUGUACACACCGCCCGUCACACCAUGGGAGUGGGCUGCAAAAGAAGUAGGUAGUUUAACCUUCGGGGGGACGCUUACCACUUUGUGGUUCAUGACUGGGGUGAAGUCGUAACAAGGUAGCGCUAGGGGAACCUGGCGCUGGAUCACCUCCUUAAACGAUGAUUA